UGGCCUUGGGCAGGAGUAGAAAAGUUUCUUUUAUCAGUGGUCUGAUUUCUAACAAAGACUUGUCCCAGCACUGAAGAGGGGAGAAAAACAUAGGAUACAUCCAGCUUUGUUUACAAUGAGGUUGGCAGCACAAAGCUUCUAAGUGUUCAGACAAGAGGAGUUUUGGAAUCCUGUCAAAAAAACGUUUCUAUAGCUCUAUGUAUGUGGAAGGGAAAUCCUGGAAGAGAAAAGAGUCAGGCUGAAUCCUAGAGCAUUCAUGAACGACACCAACCAACAUGUAGUUCUCUGACACGGAACCAAACUGUGAAGAGCUACUGCCUUCCAGGAGUUAAGUAGCACCACUGGAAUUGCUUCUGCAAACCCUUUGAGCUGGUGUUUGGAGAUUGCUGACCUACCCUGUGUUACUGUAAAACACUCCUACAUCACUGACACAGAACUCUCACCUCACACCUGGUGGCAGGGGCUGAGGCAGAUCUGCCCUUUUUGGAAGUUGUGUUCUAAUUACUAUUUUAAGCCCUAGUGCAGCAGGGUAGAGGGGGAAUGCCAAGAGGUAUUCUGCUUGAACCU
Lepidothrix coronata (blue-crowned manakin) is the source of this 567-nucleotide long non-coding RNA. RefSeq lists it as uncharacterized. Lineage: Eukaryota; Metazoa; Chordata; Aves; Passeriformes; Pipridae. The record is from RefSeq and is a predicted model, not a curated record. The transcript is spliced from 4 exons.